This 398-nucleotide ribosomal RNA is filed under the name uncultured bacterium. Its description in RNAcentral is "bacterial SSU rRNA". It matches the Rfam family "Bacterial small subunit ribosomal RNA", at positions 28 to 428 of the family's 1533-position model. The record is from RNAcentral.
GACGAACGCUGGCGGCGUGCUUAACACAUGCAAGUCGAGCGGUAAGGCCCUUUCGGGGGUACACGAGCGGCGAACGGGUGAGUAACACGUGGGUGACCUGCCCUCAGCUCUGGGAUAAGCCUGGGAAACCGGGUCUAAUACUGGAUAUGACUCCAUGACGCAUGUUGUGGGGUGGAAAGCCUUGUGCGGCUGAGGAUGGGCCCGCGGCCUAUCAGCUUGUUGGUGGGGUGANGGCCUACCAAGGCGACGACGGGUAGCCGGCCUGAGAGGGCGACCGGCCACACUGGGACUGAGACACGGCCCAGACUCCUACGGGAGGCAGCAGGUGGGGAAUCUUGCGCAAUGGGCGAAAGCCUGACGCAGCGACGCCGCGUGAGGGAUGACGGCCUCGGUUGUAA